Molecule: transfer RNA, 75 nt
Filed under: Acidobacteriota bacterium
Lineage: Bacteria; Pseudomonadati; Acidobacteriota
Also listed under: 1 other name
Description: Acidobacteria bacterium tRNA-Thr
Rfam family: tRNA
About the family: Transfer RNA (tRNA) molecules are approximately 80 nucleotides in length. Their secondary structure includes four short double-helical elements and three loops (D, anti-codon, and T loops).
Source: RNAcentral
GCCAGAGUAGCUCAGUGGUAGAGCAGCUGAUUCGUAAUCAGCAGGUCGCCGGUUCAAGUCCGGCCUCUGGCUCCA